UCGACUGAUUGUUUCUAUGUUAAAAUCGUUGUCAAUGGAAUGACACGGUAUCCAUCUGUCACAUCAGUCUGAAAUGUCAAGUUCUCUGUAGGAUGGGCGGAGUGAUGAUAACCCAGAGCCCUAUUUAUUCACCUUGAACCGAUUCAAUGGGGAAGCAAAUACACCUCAAGUAACAUCGAUCCACCACAUUAAUUAAAGGGAAAAGGCUGCUGGGAAGGGAAAGGUGAGGCGAGUCCCCAAGGUACGUGACCAUUACUUCAAUUUACAUGAAGGUGGAAUUAAUUCCUUGUUUCACAAUCGAGAAAUAUCGACCAAGAGUAUGAAGCUUAGAAAGAACAACGUCAAAAUCACAGCUUCCACUCCAUUUGAUUAAUUGAAAAGGUGACAAUCACUUUGCUUAAAUUCAUGAGAAAGGUGGAUCCUCGCUAAUUAAGACCUUAACUACACUGCGUGGUAUUUGAGGUAUCAUUACUCAGUCACUUCAGUUAUCUCAGACAUCAUACCAUUGUAUCCUCAAUAAAAAGACAACAUGAACACAGAAGAGGGGUCAGUAUAUGCCCUGCUUCUUCUUUUUCUACUUCAGGGAAGUAUUGGCUUGGACAUCCUAAGCCAAAACAAUACCAUCAGAGAUGGCAAUCUCUUGGUCUCCAGUGGCAAAACGUUCGUUCUUGGUUUCUUCAGUCCAGAUAAUUCUAGCCGCCGUUAUGUCGGAAUUUGGUAUUACCGAGUUUCUGAACAAACCAUUGUUUGGGUUGCUAAUCGGGAGAGACCAAUCAGUGGCACUACGGGAGCUCUUUCAAUUGAUUCUGAUGGAAAUUUGGUGCUCCAUGAGAAAAAUGGAAGCUUUCCUGUUUGGUCGACAAAAGUUUCUUCUGGAUUAUCAAACUAUUCUACAACAGCUCGGCUUAUGGAUUCAGGUAAUCUUGUUCUGGUUCAAGAUUUUAGCAAGAGCGUGAUAUGGCAAAGCUUUGAUUAUCCUACAGACACUCUGCUUCCCCUCAUGAAACUUGGGUUGGACCUCAAAACCGGUUUGAACCGGUUCCUAACAUCAUGGGCGUCCCCAGAGGAUCCGGCACCCGGCAAUUACUCCUUCAGGAUUGACCCAAAGGGCUAUGCUCAAUUAUUCCUGUACAAGGAUGGGGAUCCGUACUGGCGUUCCGGAUCAUGGAUCGGAGAUCGGUGGAGUGGCAUACCCGAAAUGACUCGCAGGUUCAUCUUUAACAUAAGCUUUGUAAAUAACCCAGACGAGGUUUAUCUGAUGUAUGCCAUGAUCAACGCGUCGAUCAUCUCAAGAAUGGUUUUGAAGGAAUCGGGGUCAGCCCAACGAUUCACAUGGCAUGACCAAGAACAGCGGUGGAUACAAUUCUGGUUCGCUCCAAAGGACCAGUGCGAUUAUUACGGCAAGUGUGGACCCAACAGCAACUGCAAUCCAUAUGAUGCGGGCCAGUUCGAGUGCACAUGCCUGCCAGGGUUCGAGCCCAAGUCCCCGACUGAUUGGUACCUAAGGGAUGGAUCAGCCGGGUGCGUAAGGAGGCCCAGGGCGUCGGCAUGUCAACAUGGGGAAGGAUUUGUGAAGGUGCCGCUUGUGAAGGUGCCAGACACUUCGCAAGCACACACCAACAUGAGCUUUAGCUUGAAUGAGUGUGAGAAGGAAUGCCUGAGGAAUUGCUCUUGCACAGCUUAUGCUAGUGCCAAUGAGAUUCUAGGAGGUUUUGGGUGCCUCAUAUGGCAUGACAAUUUAGUUGAUACAAGAACAUUCACUGAUUCAGGUCAAGAUUUAUAUGUACGGGUCGAUGCCAUCGAGUUAGCUCGCUAUAGGAAAAAACAAGUUUCCUCAGCAAAAAGGCAAGGGUUGCGAUAAUUUUGGUUUCAGUUUUGACAGCGCUACUGCUCGCCAGCUCCAUCUCCUAUUGCUUGGUGAUCAAGAAGAGAAAUGGCAUCGAUCGCAGAAGGAAAAAUCCACUGAUUAGUGAGAUGACCAAUCUAACACGUUUCGAGGGCUCUCCGAGUGUAGAAGACUGCGAUGAUGGAGCUAGACGAAACAGAGAUGUACCGCUCUUUGAUCUGAGCACCAUAGCUUC
RNA transcript from Eucalyptus grandis, 2081 nucleotides. It is a transcript of the gene named G-type lectin S-receptor-like serine/threonine-protein kinase At1g11410, with no coding region annotated. Lineage: Eukaryota; Viridiplantae; Streptophyta; Magnoliopsida; Myrtales; Myrtaceae. The record is from RefSeq and is a predicted model, not a curated record. The transcript is spliced from 3 exons.